Molecule: microRNA precursor, 168 nt
Filed under: Pelobates cultripes (western spadefoot toad)
Lineage: Eukaryota; Metazoa; Chordata; Amphibia; Anura; Pelobatidae
Source: RNAcentral
GCAGACACAUUCCAGCCAAUCAGCAGCAGACCCUCCCUCCCAGACCCUCCCACCUCCUAGACAGCUCACUAAGAAUGCAGCUUCACAAUGAAUGUAAAAUGGAUGCUGUCCAGGAGGUGGGAGGGUCUGGGAGGGAGGGUCUGCUGCUGAUUGGCUGGAAUGUGUCUG